UAUUAUAUCCCCACUGCAUCUAUUUUUUGUCGGAUUUUGCUUAAAAUCUUACAGUAAUAUAUGUUUUUUGUCAGUUUUUGGACCGCCAGUUAUAGAUAAUUUUGUAGUAGUGUUCUAUUAGGACUCGGCCAAAUUCUUCUAUGGGCUAAAUAUCAUCUGGCUUGAGGAAUCACUACUGGCUUGAGAAUCAACCCAAACCAUCCACCUUUAGCCUAGACCCAAUAUUUCAAGCCCAAACAUUGUACCCUUGCUUAUGAAGUAUUCGACCAUGGACACCUAACCAGAAGGUUUUGAAGAAGUGAAUGCUUUUCAACCACCCACUCACCAACAUUCAUUGAAUAGGUUGCCAUAACCACACCACCAUGCUUCAAGGCCUUAUGGCAUUUUUCCACUUUCGGCAGUUCAAUGCGGUGCACGCUCUAGAUAAACUGGCCGUCGAAACGUUCAUCCUUAAUGGACGUACCUUGAAAAUCGAAACAAUUCGGCCUGUUGUUAAAAGCGUGAAAAUAGAUCAAAUACCUCGUUUUUCAAAAUGGAAUGAUUAAGGGUGCUUUGAAAUUCAAAAACAUAAGUGAUUUUGUGAACUAACCCUGAGAUUCUCUUAGUUUUCAAAACUUAAAACCCUUAAGCUUCCUCACACAUCCACCUAGAAAUACCCCUGGGGUUUCCCACUUCUUCUUCACCUUUCAAGAAAUCUCCUAGAAGCUUUGCUAUUUUGAAUCCUCAAAUUCCAGAAAAACUCAUCAUAUUUUUUAGAAAUCAUCCAACCUUCAAACCUUCUUGGCUUCAACUCAAAACUCCCAUGCCUACUGCUAGAAGAUCUUUGACGAGCUUCAAAAAAUCUAAAGCUCUGUCGAUCACUAAACCACCAAACUUUUUAGGUAUCUUGACGAACAUGAGGCUAACCAUCAAUUCCUUGGCCUUCUGUUCAAUGAGCUUAUCCCAAACUUCAUCACCUCUCUAAUGAAAAAAUAUAUUUGAUAGAGUCGUUUUUCCAAUGCAUCGACUGGGCUAAAUGCGAGGUUACCAAGCCUCAAGUGGCCUGACCUUCGGCCCCAACUGCAUGGGCCAUGCAGGUGAACCGAAUGGAACCCCACUUUGAUAGCUCAUGAAAAAGUUUGGGCAUAUUCGACCCCAUUAAGAUCUCCACCAUUGAGAUCAGUAUGGAUUGAGAAUCACUAUUGGGCUGAGAAUCAACCCGAAGUAUCCACCUCCGACCCAAAUCUAAUAUUUUAGGCCCCAACAAUAUACAAGAAGGAAAAUGAGUAGCAUGAUUUUAAUGGUAGACCCUUUUCACGCUUAUAUUGUAUUAUACUAGCCUUUGUUGAAUCACGGCGUGCUACGUGCAACUUACAUGUUUUAAAUGUAUUUAUAUGCGUAAAUUGACAAAAGGAAAGUCAAAUAUUUGAAGUAAAUAAAUAAUGUUAGAUCAUGCUAGAAGAAAUCCCUCAUAACCAUUUAAAGCAGCUGAAUCUACAUAAUCAAAUCGGUCUUUAUAAAAUUUACAUUAAGAAUAGAAAAAAUAAUAUUUAAUA
Molecule: long non-coding RNA, 1535 nt
Filed under: Malus domestica (apple)
Lineage: Eukaryota; Viridiplantae; Streptophyta; Magnoliopsida; Rosales; Rosaceae
Description: long non-coding RNA (MDOM_LNC012233)
Source: RNAcentral